AACGGCUCAUUAAAUCAGUCUUGGUUUAUUUGGUCCUUGCGAGAGCUAACGUGGAUAACUGUGGCAAUUCCAGAGCUAAUACAUGCGACCGAGCGCCGACUCCGGGAGGCGCGCUUUUAUUGGUUCGAACCCGACCGGGCCUUCGCGGGCCCGUCUCUUUCGAUGACUCUGGAUAACCACGCGGAUCGCACGCCUUCGCGGCGGCGACCUACCAUUCAAGUGUCUGACCUAUCAACUUUCGAAGGUAGGCUACGGGCUUACCUUUGUGAUAACGGGUGACGGGGAAUCAGGGUUCGAUUCCGGAGAGGGAGCCUGAGAAACGGCUACCACAUCCAAGGAAGGCAGCAGGCGCGCAAAUUACCCAUUCCCGACACGGGGAGGUAGUGACGAAAAAUACCGAUGCGGGACUCUAACGAGGCCCCGCAAUCGGAAUGAGUACAUUCUAAAACUCUUGUCGAGUAUCCAUCGGAGGGCAAGUCUGGUGCCAGCAGCCGCGGUAAUUCCAGCUCCGAAAGUGUAUGCUAAAGUUGUUGCGGUUGAAAAGCUCGUAGUUGGAUGAAGAGCGCGCGGCGCCGGUCCGUCCGUCGAAGGGCGUGCACCGGCGUCGAGAGUUCCGCCUGUCGGCGCUUCCCGGGUGUUCUUGAUCGGGUGCACGGGGUGACCGACGAGUUUACUUUGAAAAAAUUAGAGUGUUCAAAGCAGGUUUUUCGCCUGCAUAGUGUUGCAUGGAAUAAUGGAAUAAGACCUCGGUCUCGUUUCGUUGGCGUUCGCGAGUGCGAGGUAAUGAUUGAGAGGGACAGCCGGGGGCGUCC
This 812-nucleotide ribosomal RNA is filed under the name Botryllus schlosseri. RNAcentral's name for it is "SSU rRNA". It matches the Rfam family "Eukaryotic small subunit ribosomal RNA", at positions 92 to 893 of the family's 1831-position model. The record is from RNAcentral. Lineage: Eukaryota; Metazoa; Chordata; Ascidiacea; Stolidobranchia; Styelidae.